RNAcentral lists this transfer RNA (72 nucleotides) under Actinoallomurus bryophytorum. It matches the Rfam family "tRNA". Rfam says of the family: Transfer RNA (tRNA) molecules are approximately 80 nucleotides in length. Their secondary structure includes four short double-helical elements and three loops (D, anti-codon, and T loops). Further hydrogen bonds mediate the characteristic L-shaped molecular structure. tRNAs have two regions of fundamental functional importance: the anti-codon, which is responsible for specific mRNA codon recognition, and the 3' end, to which the tRNAs corresponding amino acid is attached (by aminoacyl-tRNA synthetases). tRNAs cope with the degeneracy of the genetic code in two manners: having more than one tRNA (with a specific anti-codon) for a particular amino acid; and 'wobble' base-pairing, i.e. permitting non-standard base-pairing at the 3rd anti-codon position. Lineage: Bacteria; Bacillati; Actinomycetota; Actinomycetes; Streptosporangiales; Thermomonosporaceae. The record is from Rfam by way of RNAcentral.
GCCUCCGUAGCUCAGCAGGCAGAGCGACGCUCUUGUAAAGCGACGGCGCCGGUUCGAUUCCGGCCGGAGGCU